UGCAAGUCGAACGAUGAAGCCCUUCGGGGUGGAUUAGUGGCGAACGGGUGAGUAACACGUGGGCAAUCUGCCCUUCACUCUGGGACAAGCCCUGGAAACGGGGUCUAAUACCGGAUACGACUGCGGGAGGCAUCUCCUGUGGUGGAAAGCUCCGGCGGUGAAGGAUGAGCCCGCGGCCUAUCAGCUUGUUGGUGGGGUAAUGGCCUACCAAGGCGACGACGGGUAGCCGGCCUGAGAGGGCGACCGGCCACACUGGGACUGAGACACGGCCCAGACUCCUACGGGAGGCAGCAGUGGGGAAUAUUGCACAAUGGGCGAAAGCCUGAUGCAGCGACGCCGCGUGAGGGAUGACGGCCUUCGGGUUGUAAACCUCUUUCAGCAGGGAAGAAGCGAAAGUGACGGUACCUGCAGAAGAAGCGCCGGCUAACUACGUGCCAGCAGC
RNAcentral lists this ribosomal RNA (442 nucleotides) under Streptomyces sp. HVXM-4-1. Its description in RNAcentral is "bacterial SSU rRNA". It matches the Rfam family "Bacterial small subunit ribosomal RNA", at positions 56 to 515 of the family's 1533-position model. Lineage: Bacteria; Bacillati; Actinomycetota; Actinomycetes; Kitasatosporales; Streptomycetaceae. The record is from RNAcentral.